Molecule: ribosomal RNA, 252 nt
Filed under: Clostridioides difficile
Lineage: Bacteria; Bacillati; Bacillota; Clostridia; Peptostreptococcales; Peptostreptococcaceae
Description: partial 23S ribosomal RNA
Rfam family: Bacterial large subunit ribosomal RNA
Source: RNAcentral
GUAAACCCAAGGUUUCCAGGGGAAGGUUCGUCCGCCCUGGGUUAGUCGGGACCUAAGCUGAGGCCGAAAGGCGUAGGUGAUGGACAACAGGUUGAUAUUCCUGUACUACCGAUAACCGUUUGAGGGAUGGGAUGACACAGUAGGAUAAGCUAAGCACACUGUUGGUUAUGUGUGCCCAAGCAUUGAGGCAGUCAAAGUAGGCAAAUCCGCUUUGAUAAUGCUGGGAUGUGAUGGGGAGCGAAAUUUAGUAGC